AACUGUAGCAUUGCGCUCGAAACUACACGGCUAGAGUAUUGGAGAGGUGAGUGGAAUUCCAGGUGUAGCGGUGAAAUGCGUAGAUAUCUGGAGGAACACCAACGGCGAAGGCAGCUCACUGGACAAUGACUGACGCUGAGGGACGAAAGCGUGGGGAGCGAAAGGGAUUAGAUACCCCUGUAGUCCACGCCGUAAACUUUGUGCACUCGCUAUUGGCGGAUUCGACCCCGUCAGUGGCCAAGCUAACGCGAUAAGUGCACCGCCUGAGGACUACGGCCGCAAGGCUAAAACUCAAAGGAAUUGACGGGUCCCCGCACAAGCGGUGGAGCAUGUGGCUUAAUUCGAUGCAACGCGAAGAACCUUACCAGGUCUUGACAUGUAGCGGACCGGGGCAGAGAUGCCCCUUCUCUUCGGAGCCGCUUCACAGGUGCUGCAUGGCUGUCGUCAGCUCGUGUCGUGAGAUGUUCGGUUAAGUCCGUCAACGAGCGCAACCCCUGUCCUUAGUUGCCAGCAUUCAGUUGGGGACUCUAAGGAGACAAUCCCGCUUUUGCGGGAGGGAAGGUGGGGAUGAUGUCAAGUCAGUAUGGCCCUUACGGCCUGGGCUGCACACGUGCUACAGUGCCCGGUACAAUAGGUCGCUACUCCGCGAGGAGAUGCUAAUCCAGAAAGCCGGGCCCAGUUCGGAUUGGAGUGUGCAACUCGACUCCAUGAAGUCGGAAUCGCUAGUAAU
RNAcentral lists this ribosomal RNA (730 nucleotides) under uncultured organism. Its description in RNAcentral is "bacterial SSU rRNA". It matches the Rfam family "Bacterial small subunit ribosomal RNA", at positions 611 to 1342 of the family's 1533-position model. The record is from RNAcentral.